GCAUUCAAAGGAUAGUAGUUUAUCCAUUGGUCUUAGGAACCAAAAACCCUUGGUGCAAGUCCAAGUGAAAGCU
Molecule: transfer RNA, 73 nt
Filed under: Henicorhynchus siamensis (Siamese mud carp)
Lineage: Eukaryota; Metazoa; Chordata; Actinopteri; Cypriniformes; Cyprinidae
Description: tRNA-Leu
Rfam family: tRNA
About the family: Transfer RNA (tRNA) molecules are approximately 80 nucleotides in length. Their secondary structure includes four short double-helical elements and three loops (D, anti-codon, and T loops).
Source: RNAcentral